GUGACCACGAGCGUAUCACAGAUCAUUAUAAUCAUAGGUCAAAACUGAGUCUCAAUCGUCAAGACACUGAAUUUCAAGCUCCAAUAAAGAUUACAACGGUAAGAAAUCUUGUUGCACUAUCAGUUAAUCACUAGUAACAUAAUUUACAGUUAUUUUUGUUAUAGUUCAGUUAAUAGCACCAAGUGAAAUAAAUAUGCUAUCUACAAACCAUAUCUCGCUAAUUUCUACUAUGUAAAGAAUCUCCAACGAGUUAUAUUCAUAGAACUCAAAGGCCAUAACAAGCUGUGGACCUGGUUUCAUAAUCUCAUUCAACGACUCACUUAGUACUUCUUAAGCGUCCAGGCGAACAAUAUGCCUCUGCCUCAUCCCUACAUCUGCAGCUUCCCGAUUCUGCUGAAUCAUGCCAAUAUCACUUACAUUUGAACUUUGAUCCUCUAGGACAACAUGCUUCUCGUCUAAAUUCUCCCCAUAAUUGUGGAGUCUACGACCAAUCAAAUACCGGUCAUCGCGCAUCGAAUUGUGGAGGUUGGGGAACACGAUAUGAAACCGCUUGGCACAGAUGAACAGCAGACUAAAGCUAAGGCAUCCCAACCAAGCAAAUCGAUAGACAGCUGAGUUCACCACUAAUGGGUACCCAAAUAACGGAAAUACGCCUC
Molecule: long non-coding RNA, 656 nt
Filed under: Olea europaea subsp. europaea
Lineage: Eukaryota; Viridiplantae; Streptophyta; Magnoliopsida; Lamiales; Oleaceae
Source: RNAcentral